UGGUAAAUUCCUUAUUGAGCUACACCAGAGCAUAGCAAUUUUGCACCAACAAUGGUUUCAAACAAUGGAAGUGUCCAUACAUUUUUGCAAAUAGGAACAUCACGAAUUCAUCUAUCAUGAAAUGCGGAAAAUUCCAUCUCGAUCGCUUAAUUCCGUGCCGAGUUUCAGCAAAGAAAAGGAAUUUUGCAAUAGUAAUAGUUAUAAACAAUUAAAAAAUUCAUAAAUUUUUGGAAAUGUGAUCAUCGCGAAAACCUGUACGGCCGCAAAAUGUAAGGGAUUUCAUCGAUUUCAGGCCAAACAUACGUGAAAUAUUACGCUCUUUGCGAUAAAAAGUGUUAUAAAGUGGUAAAAAACAAAGUAAGGACAAAUGUUUUGUUAUGGGACCAAAUGGCAAAUGCUCUCCUAGAUGCAAGAAGUUUCAAUCUGAUUGGUCCAUGCGUCUCGGAGUAAGAAGCAAGACAAAAUUUUUCUGUUUUUUAAAAAUACGGUUAAAAAAUGACAACUCACAAAAUGUUUCUUUUACGCGACCAACUGGAAGAAAUAUUCGACAAGAUGCAAGAGGUUUCACUCCGAUUCAUCAAGCCAUCUCGGCGUAAUCGGUGAACAGACAUUAAAAAAAAAAAAAUAUAUAUAUAUAUAUAUGUAUAUAUACAUGUCAAAUUGAGUAACCUCCUCCUUUUCGAAGUCCGUUAAAAAUUGACAGUCGCAAAGACAGAAUUUCAGCAAAUGUUGACGGAGGGCAUAAUACAGCCAUCGAAGAGCCAAUGGGCGAGUCCAUUACAUAUGAUAAAGAAAAAUACUGGUGAAUGGAGGUUAUGCGGUGAUUAUAGGAGGCUAAACAGUGUUACAGUGCCAGAUAAGUACCCAUUACCACAUGUACAGGAUAUCGUCCAUGAUUUUGAUGGUACCACAGUAUUUUCAGUAAUAGAUUUGCGAAGAGCAUAUCAUCAGAUACGAAUGGCACCAGAGGACCAGCCUAAAACAGCAAUACAACCCCCUUUGGAUUGUACGAAUAUAUGCAUCAGAGAAUGUGGAGCAGCAUGAAGCACAUCUGCGAGCAGUGUUCCAAAAGCUGGAGGAGCAUGGUCUAACCAUAAAUGUAUCAAAGUGCCAAUUCGUACAGGAAGAAGUGCAAUAUUUAGGUUGUAGAAUUAACAAACUAGGUAUCGCUCCUUUGGAAAAAAGGGUUUCAGCGAUACAGACAUACGCAAAACCAACCACAAUUAGUGAGGUAAGAAAAUUUUAGGUGUACUAAAUUAUUAUAGGAGAUUUCUUGCCAAUGCAGGGGAGAUUCUAGUACUGUUGAACCAAAUGCUCAAAGGAAGAUAACAGGCCAGUCAAGUGGACAGAGAAUGCAGAAAAAGCCUUCGACAAAUGCAAGGAGUUAAUGGCAGCAGCUACAUUGUUGCAUUAUCCAGUAAAAGGAGCAAAAUUAGCACUCACAAAAGAUGCUUCAAAUAUUGCGUUAGGAGCAGUGCUGGAACAAUGGAAUCAAAACAAGUGGGAACCACUAGGGUUCUUUUCUAGUAAACUGAACAGAGCUCAAACAAGAUACAGCACAUACGAUAGAGAGUUGCUGACAAUUUAUAAAGCAAAAAGCUGAUAAGGCAACACCGAGACAAUUACGUCAGUUAGACUUCAUUGGGCAGUAUACAACGAAUAUACAGCAUGUGACAGGAACGAUGAACAAUAUUGCAGAUGCACUGUCACGGGUAGCAACUAUAAAUUUACCAGUUUUAGUUUCAACAGAAUAAUUAAUUGAAGAGCAGAAAACAGAUGAAGAACUGCAAAAUUUAAUAGGAAGACCAAAUCAAAUGGACAAAUGGGGUAUUAGAAAAAUUGCCAUCAGCGAUUCCAAUAAACAUAUAUAUGCUGACAUUUUUAACGAAACAGUCAGACCAUACAUACCUAAAGCCUUAAGGAAAAGGAUUUUCGAGGCUAUACACAAUUUGUCCCAUCCAGGAGGAAAAGCUACGAAGAAAAUUAUAGCAAAAAGCUUCAUGUGGCCAUAAAUGAGAAAAGAUAUUACCAAUUGGGUGCGUUCUUGUUUAGAUUGCCAACGAGGGAAGGUUCACAGACACAAUAAAAAACAGCCACAGCAUAUUGAAGUUCCAACUGGAAGGUUUGAACAUAUACACGUGGAUAUUGUGGGACCCCUUUCACGAUCCAAAAAUUUUUGAUAUUGCUUGACUAUAAUAGAUAGGUUUACACGUUGGCCUGAAGCGAUCCCAUUAAAGGACAUAUCAGCUGAUUCAGUAGCAAUAGCAUUAUAUUAUAUUGGAUUACAAGAUUUGGAACGCCAAUAACAAUGGCCACAAACCAAGGUACUCAGUUUGAAUCCUUAUUAUUUAAAUCACUAACCAAAUUAUUGGGAUGCAAUAGAAACAGAACAACACCAUAUCACCCAGCAUCUAAUGGAUUAGUAAAAAGAUGGCACAGAUCAUUUAAAAGAGCCAUCAUAUGUCAUAAGGAUAAUGAGUGGACAGAAAUUUUGCCCACAGUACUUUUAGGUCUGAGAACGAGUUUUAAAGAGGAUAUUAAUGCAACAGCAGCUGAGAUGAUAUAUGGAAGCAACAUACGCUUACCAGGAGAAUUGUUCGAGCAAGGCGAAAGAAGUGAACCAGAACAUUUUAUUAAUAAAUUCCGACAAUAUAUUAAGAGAAUUAAACCGAUUCCAACCGCUUACCAUUCCAGACGUAAGGUAUUCACUUAUAAAACGUUAUAUACAUGUACACAUGUUUUUGUCAGGAUAGAUGCUGUAAAAAAAACCAUUGGAUCCACCUUACGAAGGGCCAUUUCAAAUUCUAAAAGAUUAUCAGAUGAUGUAUUUCAAACUAAUUAUAAAAGAAAACCCACAAAUAUAUCCAUCGAGCGAUUAAAACCGGCAUUUACGGAAGACGUGGGAAAAACAAGCGCAGAAGGAUCAAGAAGUACUGAACUUAGAACUAUGAAAUAGCAAAUGGUAUUGGGCAAUGGGUUCGGAGAGUAUCGCAAUAUCCCAAUAACACCACUGGAUUACUUCCAAGCACGCAUUCUGAGCAACGACAGACGAUUUCAACGAACAGAUUACUUGUUCUUUGCACUAUCUGUUGUUGAAUAUUACCGCGCAAAAGCGUCUCGGUAUCGUGUAGAAUGCGCCAAGGGGAACACACUCCAACUGAACUAAUAGAUAAUAUUCACCUAACCAUGAGAAACAUACGAGGUUCGGCAUCAUAUUGGAGACGAUCGUGUUCCGAGCUAAUCGCCAUGGUGCGAAGUCUUGGACCGCCGACAUGGUUUGCUACAUUUUCCUGCAACGAUCUGAAUUGGCCAGACAUGUUGAAAGCGUUCCUAAUAUCGGAAGGCCGUUCUUCCGAGGAGGCUGGAAACCUCACAUUCACAGAUCGAUUGAAAUUAGUUCAAAGAUACCCAGUAGUUGUAGCAAGACAAUUUACGGUACGCGUUAACGCGUUAAUGCAGUAUAUAAAGGGCACCCAAUGCCUAGGCGGCGUUGUUAUCGAUUAUUGGUAUAGAAUCGAAUUUCAAAACAGAGGGAGCCCGCAUUUGCACUUGCUUAUUUGGUGUGCAAACAUACCGGAUUUCCUAACCAACGAAGGGGUCAAUGUUAUCGAGAAUGUUGUAUCGUGCUCAAUAGAAACCGCGGAACAAGAUACCGAUAAGCGAACGAACAAUGUGCCUAGGUCCUGACGACACACUUGCCAACAACGGACGUUUCUGCGUACUGAAACGAACUGCGAACGAAAUAAUGGCGAAUAAUUAUAAUCCCGCUCUUUUAAAGAUAUGAGACGCUAUUUUAAAGAUUAGUGACAAUGUCUCAAGUAGAGAUGUUAUGCGAACGAAGAAGAGUUCCCUUAACCGGAAAAUUUGAGGAUGGAGCAGCUGUAAGAAUAUCCCAACCAUAAAAUUAGUGGAUGAAUAUAACACCAAAAUGUCUGAUAAAUUAGCAAAAUCACGUCGAAUGUAUGUCAUCGAUUCAAUAGAUGAAUCUCGCGAGGCAGCUACUUAUGGAAAAAGACCACCACAAGGUGUCAUACCUGCAAAUGUAAAUAACUGUGGCGGACUUUUACAUACAAUAUUGUUAGCCGAGGGAUCGCGAAUCAUGCUACGACGAAAUAUAUCCGUUUCUGAUGGUUUGAUAAAUGGCGCAAUGGGACUAAUAAAGAAAUUUAUAUGGCCGGCACUUCGGCGAGAUCAGCUGGAACAGGGAGAAUUGCCGGACUCUGUACUUAUAGAAUUUGACGACAAAUCCAUUGGUAACAGGUUCAAAGAUAUCGACGGAUACAUUCCAAUCUCCCCAGUAACCGCAACGUUUCAAGCAACAAGAGGUUAUGGAGACGUCGAACGCAGGAUGUUCCCACUUAUACUAAGCUGGGCAGUAACGGUUCACAAAUUACAAGGGACAACGUUAGAUAAAGCUGUAAUCGAUCUGGGCAAAAAGAAUUUUGCUAAAGGUCAAAUGUACGUUGCUCUUAGUCGUGUUAAAAAUUUACGUGAUCUAGCUUUAUCUGAUUUAGCAAUAAAUAAAGUACUCAAUAAACCGCACGACGAAAAAGCAUUAGCGGAAAUGGAAAGACUAAGGCGGCUCUUGUUAAUACAGAGAAACACUCCAAAUCAUCUCCCAGCGAACGAAACACUUGGAAACAACUGAAGUACACUUUACCUUUAAUCAUCGAGAUAUUGAGAACGCCCACAUUCAAUUCACCAGCGAUUCAUUACAAGCAAGGUAAUAUUAUUAAGUAAUUACAACAUAAAAUAUAUACCAAAUGGAUUACGGGGAAAGCAUCCCUGAACCUGAAUCGCUAGAUUUCAUGUUUAAAUAUUUAUAGUUUACAUAUUGUUUGUAAGUUCUUUGUUUGUUUGUCUGUUUGUAAGUCAGACCACCAAGAUAACCUGAUACAGCAUGUGGAAGACCCCACCCCGGGUAAUAAACAAUAAGAAAAAAAUAGGAAUUUUGCAAUAACAAUAGUUAUAAACAAUAUGAGAAAAAUAGAAAUUUUGCAAUAACAAUAAUUAUAAACAAAAAGAAAAAUCAUUUUUUGCAAAGUGAUCACCACGAAAACGAGACCGGCAGCAAAAUGUACUGGGUUUCAUCGAUUUCAUCGAAUUCAGUAGGAACAUACGUGAAAUAGUACAAUUUUCGAUAAAAAGUGCAAUAAAGUGGUAAAAAAUGGAAAUAGGUCAAAUGUCUUUUUAAGCUUUUAAGAGGCAACGAAGCCCCACCAAAUGCAAGAAGAAUCAAUCCGAUUGGUCAAUCCGUUACGGAAUAAGAAGCAGUACAAAAUUUUUCAGUUUUUUGCGAAAAAAACAGGUAAAAAAUGAGAAAUUCCAAAAUUUUUUGGUAAUCGAGCCACCUCGGAGAUAUGCUCUACAAGAUGCAACAGAUUUCAUCCCGAUCGGUCAAGCCGUCUGAACGUAAUCGAGUAACAUACAUAAAAAAAAAAAAAAAUAUACGUGUCGAAUUGAGUAACCUCCUCCUUUUCGAAGUCGGUUAAAAAACUGUGAGAUUCGCAGUUUAACAUUUUAAACCGCUCGGAGGGGAGUGAUGUGGGGUAAAGAGAAAAGUUCUUAGAGCAUAAGUUACCAUCUAGUUUUUAAGUUGGUAGUAUGUAACAUGGUACAAACUGAAGAAAAAGUAAAAAAAAAAAUAAG
Molecule: RNA transcript, 5649 nt
Organism: Hylaeus volcanicus
Lineage: Eukaryota; Metazoa; Arthropoda; Insecta; Hymenoptera; Colletidae
Gene name: ATP-dependent DNA helicase PIF1-like
Exons: 5
Source: RefSeq, a predicted model, not a curated record